AUGGAGGCACGGAUGAGGCUGAUAAUCCAGGUAGCAACACUGAUUAGUGUGAUUCAGGCAUGGGUCAUGUUCAUCCACCAGAGAGCUAUUCGUCGUGCUGGAAGACCUUUGAUUCGCUAUGGUCCCUUGUUUCCCCAGGAACAGGAGAGGAUCCAAAAUUUGAACUACAUCUACAACUACAAUGACGUCGAGGCUCUAUGGAUGCUUAGAAUGAAAAUAGCACCAUUUUCCAGGCUUGUUGAGACCUUCAGGAGCAGGGGGCUUUUACAAGAUAGCAUGAACACCAGUGUCGAAGAGCAAGUGGCCAUGUUCCUCCAUGUUGUUGGCCAUAACCAGAGGUUUAGGGUCAUUCACAACAUGUUCAGGAGAUCAAUGGAGACCAUCUCUAGGUACUUCAAGCAAGUGCUUUUUGCUAUUGGGGAGCUUAGAGGAGAGAUGAUCAGGAGACCAUCUGGUCAGACUCCACCCAAGAUUCGCGGAAGCCCAAGAUGGUAUCCAUACUUCAAGGUGAGCAUUGACAAUAUACACUUUUCAUGGCUUGAUAUGCUUGUAUUGUUCAAGUUGAGCACUAACACAGGCUUGUGA
This 585-nucleotide ribosomal RNA is filed under the name Triticum aestivum (bread wheat). Its description in RNAcentral is "partial small subunit ribosomal RNA". Lineage: Eukaryota; Viridiplantae; Streptophyta; Magnoliopsida; Poales; Poaceae. The record is from RNAcentral.